This 368-nucleotide ribosomal RNA is filed under the name uncultured Ceratobasidiaceae. RNAcentral describes it as "eukaryotic LSU rRNA". The stretch from base 1 to 105 matches the Rfam family "5.8S ribosomal RNA", at positions 50 to 154 of the family's 154-position model. Lineage: Eukaryota; Fungi; Basidiomycota; Agaricomycetes; Cantharellales; Ceratobasidiaceae. The record is from RNAcentral.
GAAAUGCGAUAAGUAAUGUGAAUUGCAGAAUUCAGUGAAUCAUCGAAUCUUUGAACGCACCUUGCGCUCCUUGGUAUUCCUUGGAGCAUGCCUGUUUGAGUGUCGUGAAUUUCUCCAACUUGAGCUUUUGCUUAACGCGGGUCCAUGGGUUUGCAACUCGCGUUGCUCACCUUAAAUACAGUAUGCUGGACAACCAGUGAGUUGCUAAUUUCAUUGCUAACUUGCGUAAAUGUUGUCUGCUGCCAAUCACGGCGUGGGGCUAACCCCCCAACCAACGUGUGCCUCGUGCACACCUUACUUUCUGACCUCAAAUCAGGUAGGACUACCCGCUGAACUUAAGCAUAUCAAUAAGCGGAGGAAAAGAAACU